This 480-nucleotide ribosomal RNA is filed under the name uncultured bacterium. RNAcentral describes it as "partial 16S ribosomal RNA". It matches the Rfam family "Bacterial small subunit ribosomal RNA", at positions 28 to 506 of the family's 1533-position model. The record is from RNAcentral.
GAUGAACGCUGGCGGCGUGCUUAACACAUGCAAGUCGAACGAAGCACUUUAUUUGAUUUCCUUCGGGACUGAUUAUUUUGUGACUGAGUGGCGGACGGGUGAGUAACGCGUGGGUAACCUGCCUUGUACAGGGGGAUAACAGUUGGAAACGGCUGCUAAUACCGCAUAAGCGCACAGCAUCGCAUGAUGCAGUGUGAAAAACUCCGGUGGUAUAAGAUGGACCCGCGUUGGAUUAGCUAGUUGGUGAGGUAACGGCCCACCAAGGCGACGAUCCAUAGCCGACCGGAGAGGGUGACCCACCACAUUGGGACUGAGACACGGGUCAAACUCCUACGGGAGGCAGCAAAGGGGAAGAUUGCACAAUGGGCGAAAGCCUGAUGCAGCGGCGCCGCGUGAGCGGAGAAGUAUUUCAGUAUGUAAAGCUCUAACAGCAGGGAAGAUAAUGACGGUACCAGACUACGAAGCACCGGCUAAAUACGU